CAACAAUGAAGAGUUUGAUCCUGGCUCAGGAUGAACGCUAGCGGCAGGCCUAACACAUGCAAGUCGAGGGGUAACAGGAAAAGCUUGCUUUUCGCUGACGACCGGCGGACGGGUGAGUAACGCGUAUACAAUCUACCUUUUGCUAAGGGAUAGCCCAGAGAAAUUUGGAUUAAUACCUUAUAGUAUAUAGCUACGGCAUCGUAAUUAUAUUAAAGGUUACGGCAUAAGAUGAGUAUGCGUCCUAUUAGCUAGUAGGUGUGGUAACGGCACACCUAGGCAACGAUAGGUAGGGGCCCUGAGAGGGGGAUCCCCCACACUGGUACUGAGACACGGACCAGACUCCUACGGGAGGCAGCAGUGAGGAAUAUUGGGCAAUGGACGGAAGUCUGACCCAGCCAUGCCGCGUGCAGGAAGACUGCCCUAUGGGUUGUAAACUGCUUUUAUACAGGAAGAAACA
RNAcentral lists this ribosomal RNA (457 nucleotides) under Flavobacteriaceae bacterium. RNAcentral describes it as "bacterial SSU rRNA". It matches the Rfam family "Bacterial small subunit ribosomal RNA", at positions 1 to 452 of the family's 1533-position model. Lineage: Bacteria; Pseudomonadati; Bacteroidota; Flavobacteriia; Flavobacteriales; Flavobacteriaceae. The record is from RNAcentral.